This 397-nucleotide ribosomal RNA is filed under the name uncultured bacterium. RNAcentral describes it as "bacterial SSU rRNA". It matches the Rfam family "Bacterial small subunit ribosomal RNA", at positions 954 to 1346 of the family's 1533-position model. The record is from RNAcentral.
GCAUAACGCGAAGAACCUUACCAGGCCUUGACAUCCAAUGAACUUUCCAGAGAUGGAUUGGUGCCUUCGGGAGCAUUGAGACAGGUGCUGCAUGGCUGUCGUCAGCUCGUGUCGUGAGAUGUUGGGUUAAGUCCCGUAACGAGCGCAACCCGUUGUCCUUAGUUACCAGCACGUCAUGGUGGGCACUCGUAAGGAGACUGCCGGUGACAAACCGGAGGAAGGUGGGGAUGGACGUCAAGGUCAUCAUGGCCCUUAGGCCUGGGCUACACACGUGCUACAAUGGUCGGUACAGAGGGUUGCCAAGCCGCGAGGUGGAGCUAAUCUCACAAAACCGAUCGUAGUCCGGAAUCGCAGUCUGCAACUCGACUGCGUGAAGUCGGAAUCGCUAGUAAUCGCG